Long non-coding RNA from Sinocyclocheilus rhinocerous, 379 nucleotides. RefSeq lists it as uncharacterized. The record is from RefSeq and is a predicted model, not a curated record. The transcript has 3 exons. Lineage: Eukaryota; Metazoa; Chordata; Actinopteri; Cypriniformes; Cyprinidae.
GUUAGGGUUAGUGCUGAUGGGUUAGAUUAGGGUUAGUGCUGAUGGGUUAGGGUUAGUGCUGAUGGGUUAGAUUAGGGUUAUGCUGAUGGGUUAGAGUUAGGGUUAGUGCUGAUGGGUUAGAUUAGGGUUAGUGCUGAUGGAUUAGUGCUGAUGGGUUAGAGUUAGGGUUAGUGCUGAUGGGUUAGAUUAGGGUUAGUGCUGAUGGGUUAGGGUUAGUGCUGAUGGGCUAGAUUAGGGUUAGUGCUGAUGUGUUAGAUUAGAGUUAGUGCUGAUGUGUUAGAUUAGGGUUAGUGCUGAUGGGUUAGGGUUAGUACUGAUGGGUUAGAUUAGGGUUAUGCUGAUGGGUUAGGGUUAGUGCUGAUGGGCUAGAUUAGGGUUA